Molecule: long non-coding RNA, 790 nt
Organism: Medicago truncatula (barrel medic)
Lineage: Eukaryota; Viridiplantae; Streptophyta; Magnoliopsida; Fabales; Fabaceae
Exons: 2
Source: RefSeq, a predicted model, not a curated record
UUCUAAUAUUAAAGCAAAAACACACAUUAGACUUCAUCCAUCCCAUACAUCUAGUUAGUCAUACCGAUAGGCGAGAGAGAUUUGCUACUGCAAUUGUUGUUUUACCCGCUCCUCCCAUCCCAUGGAUCCCUACCAUGUGGACUCCAUCAUCAUCAGAUCCAAUCUUGUGAUAAUAGAGUCACAUGGUCGGUAUCCCUGGAAUGGAGGAUCAGGUAAAACAACUUUUGCUUUAGAAAUGAUUCAUUUCUCAUCACCUUCAUCAGGUGUGGGGCAAAAAAAAUUGGACAGAACAAGCAUUGUUAAGAUUAUGUGGUGUUCAUGUGGUGUCCUGUUCUAUUCUGUUCUGUAUGUGGGAUGAUUUGAUGAUUAUGUGUCCUUCAAAUGAAGAUUGUGUUUACACAAAGUAUAAAGGUGUUGUAAAUCACAAAUGGAGGAAUACCAAUGUGUAAAAUUGUGUUGUUAUGAAAUGAACCUACACAAAGUUAAACUAAUAUGGCGCUUUCAUGAGGAAUAUCAAUGUGUAAAAUUGUGUUGUGCCUUAUGAAAUGAAGCAACGCAAGGUUGACUAAUAUGGUGCUUUCAUGGAGAACUUGGUGGAAAUGAGCACCAAGUUUCACGGACUUUUUCAAACUACAGUUUUUGUGUUUUACAACAUUUCUGCGAAUAUACUUAAACUUUGUUUCUCUUAUUUUGAUGUUUAAAGGGGGCUCCGUCUCCGAUCUGUAUAGGUCUCCCAUCGUGAGAGACUUCUUUUUUGACUUUUGGAAAAUGAACAGAGUCUUUGGAUAAA